This 274-nucleotide ribosomal RNA is filed under the name Lithodes confundens. RNAcentral's name for it is "partial 16S ribosomal RNA". The record is from RNAcentral. Lineage: Eukaryota; Metazoa; Arthropoda; Malacostraca; Decapoda; Lithodidae.
UCAUCUGUUUCUUAAAUAUUUAUUGAAUUUGACUUUUAAGUGAAAAGGCUUAAAUAAAUCAAAAAGACGAUAAGACCCUAUAAAUCUUUACAAUAAAUAUAUUUUAUAUUUUAACUUAUAAGUGUAUAAGAAAUAAAAAUAUAGAUUUGUUUCGCUGGGGCGGCGUAGAUAUAUAAAUAAACUGUCUAUAAUUUAAAUACAGUAAUUAUUGCUUAAUAUAAAUUGAUCCUUAAAUAGAUUAAAAGAUUAAGAUACUUUAGGGAUAACAGCGUUA